UACGGAGGAUGCAAGCGUUAUCCGGAAUGAUUGGGCGUAAAGCGUCCGCAGGUGGCAAUGUAAGUCUGCUGUUAAAGAGUCUAGCUCAACUAGAUAAAAGCAGUGGAAACUACAUAGCUAGAGUACGUUCGGGGCAGAGGGAAUUCCUGGUGUAGCGGUGAAAUGCGUAGAGAUCAGGAAGAACACCGGUGACGAAGGCGCUCUGCUAGGCCGUAACUGACACUGAGGGACGAAAGCUAGGGGAGCGAAUGGG
This 253-nucleotide ribosomal RNA is filed under the name uncultured bacterium. RNAcentral's name for it is "partial 16S ribosomal RNA". It matches the Rfam family "Bacterial small subunit ribosomal RNA", at positions 524 to 776 of the family's 1533-position model. The record is from RNAcentral.